CCUACGGGAGGCAGCAGUGGGGAAUAUUGCACAAUGGGGGAAACCCUGAUGCAGCGACGCCGCGUGAGUGAAGAAGUAUUUCGGUAUGUAAAGCUCUAUCAGCAGGAACGAGACAAGACGGUACCUGACUAAGAAGCCCCGGCUAACUACGUGCCAGCAGCCGCGGUAAUACGUAGGGGGCAAGCGUUAUCCGGAAUCACUGGGUGGAAAGGGAGCGUAGACGGCUGAGCAAGCCUGAAGUGAAAGGCGGGGGCCCAACCCCCGGACUGCUUUGGGAACUGUACGGCUGGAGUGCAGGAGAGGUAAGUGGAAUUCCUAGUGUAGCGGUGAAAUGCGUAGAUAUUAGGAGGAACACCAGUGGCGAAGGCGGCUUACUGGACUGUAACUGACGUUGAGGCUCGAAAGCGUGGGGAGCAAACAGGAUUAGAUACCCCUGUAGUC
RNAcentral lists this ribosomal RNA (441 nucleotides) under uncultured bacterium. RNAcentral's name for it is "partial 16S ribosomal RNA". It matches the Rfam family "Bacterial small subunit ribosomal RNA", at positions 338 to 795 of the family's 1533-position model. The record is from RNAcentral.